RNAcentral lists this ribosomal RNA (253 nucleotides) under uncultured bacterium. RNAcentral describes it as "partial 16S ribosomal RNA". It matches the Rfam family "Bacterial small subunit ribosomal RNA", at positions 524 to 776 of the family's 1533-position model. The record is from RNAcentral.
UACAGAGGUCUCAAGCGUUGUUCGGAUUCAUUGGGCGUAAAGGGUGCGUAGGCGGCGCGGUAAGUCGGGUGUGAAAUCUCGGAGCUUAACUCCGAAACUGCAUUCGAUACUGCCGUGCUUGAGGACUGGAGAGGAGACUGGAAUUUACGGUGUAGCGGUGAAAUGCGUAGAUAUCGUAAGGAAGACCAGUGGCGAAGGCGGGUCUCUGGACCGGUACUGACGCUGAGGCGCGAAAGCGUGGGGAGCAAACAGG